Molecule: ribosomal RNA, 395 nt
Filed under: uncultured bacterium
Lineage: Bacteria
Description: bacterial SSU rRNA
Rfam family: Bacterial small subunit ribosomal RNA
Source: RNAcentral
GUGUCAGCCGCCGCGGUAAUACGGAGGGUGCAAGCAUUAAUCGGAUUUAUUGGGCGUAAAGGGCGCGUAGGCGGAGAUGCAAGUCAGAUGUGAAAUCCUGGGGCUCAACCUCAGAACUGCAUUUGAAACUGCAUCCCUAGAGGGUAGAAGGAGAAAACGGAAUUCCACAAGUAGCGGUGAAAUGCGUAGAUAUGUGGAAGAACACCGGUGGCGAAGGCGGUUUUCUAUUUUAUACCUGACGCUGAUGCGCGAAAGCAAGGGGAUCAAACAGGAUUAGAUACCCUGGUAGUCCUUGCCGUAAACUAUGUAUACUUGGUGUAGCCGGACUCAACCCUGGCUGUGCCGAAGCUAACGCGUUAAGUAUACCGCCUGGGGAGUACAGUCGCAAGGCUGAA